This is an RNA transcript of Rhincodon typus (whale shark), 681 nucleotides long. RefSeq lists it as uncharacterized. The transcript is spliced from 3 exons. Lineage: Eukaryota; Metazoa; Chordata; Chondrichthyes; Orectolobiformes; Rhincodontidae. The record is from RefSeq and is a predicted model, not a curated record.
CCUGAGCAGCGUUAGUGGAAUAGUUGGAAAUAGCUGUCUGUCUUAAAUCUACGUCCACGUAUUUUAUUGCUUCUAUCAAAAAUGAUUUUGGAGGGUCUGGAAAAUAGAAAGCUGUUGUGUACUGUAGCACAAGGUGGUUAUUGAUGAGCUUGUGUAGAAGGACAGAUCUGCUAAUAUUUGAGCUGUAGAUGUUUUGUCAGAAUUGGAGAGCCUGUACGAUACUUGAAACAGUAAUGUAUCUUUUCUCUCCGCGGGUGAUGGCUGGCCUACAGAGAAGUUCUAGAAUAGCUUUUUUUUAUUUCUGAUAUCCAACGUCUUCAGCCUUUAUGAAUAAAGCUAAGGACUCCGGAUGCUAGAGAUCUGAAACAAAAAUGAAAAUUGCUGGCGAAACUCGGCAGGUCUGGCAGCAUCUGUGGGGAGAAAGCAGUUAACAUUUUGAGUCCGGCUGAAGGGUCUCUCAUGAACUUGGGAAUUCAUUUCACAAAAUUAAAAACUGAAAAUGGAAAGGGAGAGCUGCUGCAUAACCGCUAUAACAAAUUUAUGGCAGCACAGGAGGAGACCAUUCAGCCCAUUGUGUCUGGACCAGCUCUUUGGAUGAGCAGUUUAUCUGGUUUGUGUGAUUGAAAGUGUGCCGUGGUAUGACGACUACUAACAAGGGAAACAAGGCCUUAAAGGUACAGC